GCACACAGGUGCUGCAUGGCUGUCGUCAGCUCGUGUCGUGAGAUGUUGGGUUAAGUCCCGCAACGAGCGCAACCCACGUCCUUAGUUGCCAUCAUUCAGUUGGGCACUCUAGGGAGACUGCCGGUGAUAAGCCGCGAGGAAGGUGUGGAUGACGUCAAGUCCUCAUGGCCCUUACGGGAUGGGCUACACACGUGCUACAAUGGCGGUGACAGUGGGAGGCGAAGGAGCGAUCUGGAGCAAAUCCCCAAAAGCCGUCUCAGUUCGGAUUGCACUCUGCAACUCGAGUGCAUGAAGGCGGAAUCGCUAGUAAUCGUGGAUCAGCAUGCCACGGUGAAUACGUUCCCGGGCCUUGUACACACCGCCCGUCACACCAUGGGAGUUGGUCUUACCCGACGGCGCUGCGCCAACCGCAAGGAGGCAGGCGACCACGGUAGGGUCAGCGACUGGGGUGAAGUCGUAACAAGGUAGCCGUAGGGGAACCUGCGGCUGGAUCACCUCCUUUCUAAGGAUGC
RNAcentral lists this ribosomal RNA (512 nucleotides) under Methylobacterium radiotolerans. Its description in RNAcentral is "bacterial SSU rRNA". It matches the Rfam family "Bacterial small subunit ribosomal RNA", at positions 1030 to 1533 of the family's 1533-position model. Lineage: Bacteria; Pseudomonadati; Pseudomonadota; Alphaproteobacteria; Hyphomicrobiales; Methylobacteriaceae. The record is from RNAcentral.